Molecule: long non-coding RNA, 1350 nt
Filed under: Olea europaea subsp. europaea
Lineage: Eukaryota; Viridiplantae; Streptophyta; Magnoliopsida; Lamiales; Oleaceae
Source: RNAcentral
CGGAAACCCUAUGUGCCACUGCCAGUGCCACCCAACAAAUUUACUUUCCAGCCGAAAUUAAUUACAUGUUGAACCCGCCAAGUACUUUCUCUUGCAUUGGCUCUACAAAAGUGCAUCAACUCAUAAGUCAGACCAUUUUUCCCAUGGCCAAAAGAUCGAUUCCUACAUUCUUAAAAUUGGUUCAAAAUCCAAUCUUAAUGGUAAUUUUUAUCAAUUUCCUUAUUCUUCACAUCAUAUAAUCUUGCCUGUCUUACGGUCCGCCAGGUGUUUGAUGAAUUGCCGAGACGAACUUUUCCUGGCUUAUGGUUACAUAGUAUCGGGCUAUAUGAAAUAUGGGUUUGUUGAGAAUCUUUUGAUUUGGUUAGGGAACGGGUGUUAUUCUAUUGGAAGUCCUAAUGGAUAUACCUGCUCCAUGAUCCUGAAGGGGUCAACUAAUGUAUAAAUGUGGCAAUGCAUUCACAGCAUAUAGGGAGGGAGGGUCAUGCGCAUAGAGUGAGACCUUACAUUGAGAUUGAUGAUGUGCUUUAGAAGGCUUCUUUUUGUUUCAAUUCACAUUACAUGACCUUGGUUGAUUUAUACUUGAAGCAUGGAAGGGUGGAGUGGGAGAAAAAGAGUGUUUAAUUUGAUAUUGGAGAAGAAUUUGGUGUGUUGUAUGUCAAUGAUCACGGGUUACAUGAAUCAUUGGGAUGUGGAGGAUGCUGAAGAUGUGGUUGAGAAGUCAGUGGAGAAAUGUGUGGUGGCUUAAAUACUAUGAAUGAUGGUUAAAGCAACCACUUGAAACAGCUGAGCAGGCGAUUGAGAUUUAUGUUCAUAUGCAAGGGCUAAGAUAGUCCCAAAAGAUCAAACUUAUGUGAGCUUCAUUGGAGCUUACUCCGUGUUUUCAGCUUUUGAAAUCGAUCAGCUAGUUCAAGCACAACUUAUGAAAACUGAUUUUUUAAUGGACAUAAAAUUGGGAAGUACUAUGACAGACAUGUAUUCUCGAUGUAGGCAAAUUGAGGAUGCAAGACUAGUUUUGAUCACAUGCCCACAAAGAAUGUGUUUUCAUGGACUUUUAUGAUUGAUGAAGACAGGAAGAAUGGGAGUCCAAAUGAAGCACUUGAGCUCUUAGAUAGAAAAUUAAUGGUGUGUCCCACUGUGCCAAGUUACAUUACAUUUUUUGGUGACGUGUCUGCCUGUGCCCAUGCCGGAUUAGUUGCUAAAGAAAGGCAGAUAUUUCAAAGCAUGUAUACAGAUUGUCUUGGUGAAACUGAGAUUGGAGUAUUGUGCUUGUACGGUUAAUCUCUUAGGGCGUAUUGGAAGCAUGAAUCUGUAAAGCAAAUGACUGACAAUCCUGAUUCUGAUGUUUUUGGC